Molecule: ribosomal RNA, 376 nt
Filed under: uncultured bacterium
Lineage: Bacteria
Description: bacterial SSU rRNA
Rfam family: Bacterial small subunit ribosomal RNA
Source: RNAcentral
ACUCCUACGGGAGGCAGCAGUGGGGAAUAUUGCACAAUGGGGGAAACCCUGAUGCAGCCAUGCCGCGUGUGUGAAGAAGGCCUUCGGGUUGUAAAGCACUUUCAGUAGGGAGGAAGGUAGUGUAGUUAACACCUGCAUUAUUUGUACGUUACCUACAGAAGAAGCACCGGCUAACUCCGUGCCAGCAGCCGCGGUAAGUACGGAGGGUGCGAGCGUUAAUCGGAAUUACGUGGGCGUAAAGCGCAUGCAGGCGGCCUGUUAAGUCAGAUGUGAAACGCCCGGGGUCUUAACCUCGGAAUUGCAUUUGAAACUGGCAGGCUAGAGUCUUGUAGAGGGGUUAGAAUUUCGAGGUGUAGCGGUGAAAUGCGUAGAGAUC